Molecule: long non-coding RNA, 1639 nt
Organism: Homo sapiens (human)
Lineage: Eukaryota; Metazoa; Chordata; Mammalia; Primates; Hominidae
Gene: CASC15
Product: cancer susceptibility 15
Source: Ensembl
GAGUGAUACCCUGAAAGUUUACAGUCAACACUCCUUGUGUGGGGUCAGUCCUAGAAAUGGCGACGCUGCUCUCCGAAGAUAGGAAAGAAAAGGACCUCAUUCCAUUGAGCCAUUGACCGAAAUAUUUUCUCAACAAAGUUGAACUGAGCUGAAACUGUGUGAAUCAUGGCAAUACAGUGAAAGACAGUGAUUUACUGCUUUUGAGGGCGUGCAUGUAUAUGAUUAACGGAUGGAAGUGCAGGACUCCAAGAUUUACUUCCUUCCCUUUCCAGCAGAAUUACCUGAGACGAGUAAAAUCUACUGGUGGAGUCACUCCAUUAUUCUUAUCUGUGGAGAUCUAGAUCUUGAUUUGAAAGUUUCUGAGAAAAUCUUCAGCUCAGACUUGAGGGUCAACUUUACCAGCUGAAGGAUCUGCAUUUACUGCUCAACCACAUCUAAUUUGAUGUCCUCUGCAGAUUUAAAAUGUGUGCCUUCUUUUCCGUCACCAAGUCAUCCCUGGGUUACUACUGAACAUCCUUCUCAAUUCCCCCCGACCCAUGGAUGGCUGUUCUCCAUUGUCUGUUUCACCAGAUGUCCUCAAAACAAACAGACAGAAGAAGGAAGUGGCUAAUGGAGCUGUGGAGUCCAAGUGUGACUGCCAAGAGGAAUCCAGCAAAGCCAAAAAGCCCAAGCAUGUAGCCCUGCCCGAAGCACGCCACACGCAUGGAAAACCCAGAGGAAAUGAGUGAGGAUCAAUGGGAAGAAGAGAGCCAGCCAGGUUCGAUGCCUUCUCCAUCCGUCAGUGAGGGUGUGGAGAGCCUGCAGGCGUGUGCCUCCCUCUGUAACUUGCUAUUCCUUGUGUAAUGUCAAGUGGAAGUGUGAAGCACCACAAACUGCUCUGAGCAGAGCCCACUUCCCUUCACCCACGGAGAGCGUGAAGCAGUUACACCAACAUCAAUCAAGGAAAACCCACAGGCUGAGCUCACACGGUUGAAGCAGGUGCGUGAGCGAGCGUUCUGUGACAGGCACACGUGAUUGAGGUGUACCUCGGCGUCUUGCCCACAGAUGUCGGUUGCGAUGACUGUGUGGGGCUGUGCCCAUUCCCUGCAGAGCCGAGCCUGUCAUGCUUGUGGGACACAGUGGGUGCAGCUCUUGGCAGCUCAGUGGGGUGAGCAGGUCAGGUAGUUCUGAAGUAGGCUUCUUUGCUGUUUACUCACUUGUUUAAUGGUGAGGAGAAGAAUCCAGGAGAAAUAGUGUUUUAUUUUCUUUCAGUGGUGUUUUGCAGUGAGAACACCCCUGGGAUUACUCCUUUAAAACAGUAAACAAGAGGCCGGGUGUGGUGGCUCAGGUCUAUAAUACCAGCUCUUUGAGAGGCCGAAGCAGGAAGAUUGUUUGAGCCCAGGAGUUCAAGAUCAGCCUGGGCAACAUCUCUAAAAGACACCAUCUCUAAAAGAAUUUUUUAUUUUUUAAUUUGCCUUGUGUGGUGGUGUCCCCUUGUUCUCCCAGCUACUUGGAGGCAGAGGUGGAAGGAUCCCUUAAGCCUGGGAGGUCGAAACUGCAGUGAGCCAUGGUUGCGCCACUGCACUCCAGCCUGGGCAACAGAGCGAGACCCUGUCUCAGAAAUAAAUAAAUAAAUGAAAUAAAAUAGUAAACAAGAAAA